CACAUUUUGGCGUUUACGAGUCCCUGGUGUUCUUGCUUCCCAUCAAAUGAACUAAGGAGUGCCACGAGUCCAAGGACACAGCUAAGUGCUCGUGUGGAAGAGAUGGCAGGCUCAUGCUCUGCGGCCAUCGGUGGCAGAACCAAGAUCCACGGAGAGAAGCAAAGGACGAGCACAUUUCAGUUCAAGAGAAGAAACGACUUAAAAACCAUCAGAGCUGCCCAGAGAGAGAGCUGAUUGUGUCACGAGGAUACCAGUCCCUGCCCACUGCCUUCAGUUCAUCUUUACCUGCAUCCUUUCAAAAGCCACAUUCCCCACAGCGCGGAGGGGACUGGAGGAGGCACGCCGUGUCUGGGCUGACUCAAAUCCUUGAGAGAAGCAUUAGAGCCCAAUGAGAGUCUGCAAGAGCCCUGGACAG
Molecule: long non-coding RNA, 415 nt
Organism: Hipposideros armiger (great roundleaf bat)
Lineage: Eukaryota; Metazoa; Chordata; Mammalia; Chiroptera; Hipposideridae
Exons: 3
Source: RefSeq, a predicted model, not a curated record